CAGUCGCCGCGGUAAUACGGAGGGGGCUAGCGUUGUUCGGAAUUACUGGGCGUAAAGCGCACGUAGGCGGCUUUGCAAGUCAGAGGUGAAAGCCCGGGGCUCAACUCCGGAAUAGCCUUUGAGACUGCAUCGCUUGAACACGGGAGAGGUGAGUGGAAUUCCGAGUGUAGAGGUGAAAUUCGUAGAUAUUCGGAAGAACACCAGUGGCGAAGGCGGCUCACUGGACCGUUGUUGACGCUGAGGUGCGAAAGCGUGGGGAGCAAACAGGAUUAGAUACCCCCGUAGUCCCUGUCUCUUAUAC
RNAcentral lists this ribosomal RNA (301 nucleotides) under uncultured bacterium. RNAcentral describes it as "partial 16S ribosomal RNA". It matches the Rfam family "Bacterial small subunit ribosomal RNA", at positions 509 to 807 of the family's 1533-position model. The record is from RNAcentral.